CAGCUUUUUAGAGCCCGUUUAUUCUGCUGUGUAGCGAGAGAACCAUGAGUGCAGGGUUGCUAAUAGCAGGUCAGGUUUUUAGAGCCCAUGUAUUCUGAUGUACAGUAUAGAGAGAGGAGUGGCACAUUGCUUUCUGUGAGUUGGAAAAUUCAACAACUGGACGUUUUUGCGAAAGGAUUGUCAGCGAUAAGACAGGAGUCCAAUACAGAACAGAUUUAAAAUAGCUGAACUUCCAGUUAUAUGGAUUCCAGGCAGGAAGGGGAGUGUCCAGGAGGGCAGACGAUGAAACAGCCAUCAGUCUUCCAUUCUGCAGUGGGAGCAAGAGAGAAGGCAUGAGAACACAGCGCCAUUCCAGGGUUCACCUCUGAGUCUUAAACAGGAUGGAGUCUGAUAUGUCAUCAUUUAACACACACAGUGAUCACUCUUCUGUGGUACUCUGUGGGAGUCUAAGUAUGCUGCAGCCACCUGACAUGCUGGGAGGAGGUAGAGAAGGAGGGGUUUUUUGAGACGUGUCCGUGUCUUCUAGGAGUGCGUUCAGCCCCCCUGCUCACAGUGGUUAAAUUACAUACAUCAGAAAAGUGGCGUUUUAAAGAGUCAAAAUGGUGGACAGAUGUGAGUUGGCAGGAGAUGACGUCAUUGCUGUCAGACGGAAGCAACAUCAUCUUUGGAAGCCGGAAUUGAUGUGAAACUGGAAGUGACAUCAUGGCGAGAGCACCAGAAGUGGCAUGGUCCUUGGGAGUCAGAGGAGGAAGUGACGGUUGGAUGCCAUCUUGGGAACCCGGAAGUAUGGAUGAGGGAGAGAAAGAGAGAGAAGCGUUAGUACCGUUUAUCAACCCCUUGUCUCGCGAUAUUUGACUCGCCUCCAGGCUUGAGGACUGCCUCCUAAGCAUGCGUAUGUGACAAUACGUACUCAUUUAUUCUCAUCUAAUGUCUUGGGAACGUAAUAUUUUACUUAGU
Long non-coding RNA from Polypterus senegalus (gray bichir), 957 nucleotides. RefSeq lists it as uncharacterized. The record is from RefSeq and is a predicted model, not a curated record. The transcript has 4 exons. NCBI's taxonomy places the organism in Eukaryota, Metazoa, Chordata, Cladistia, Polypteriformes, Polypteridae.